Mytilus californianus (California mussel) is the source of this 1131-nucleotide long non-coding RNA. RefSeq lists it as uncharacterized. The record is from RefSeq and is a predicted model, not a curated record. Lineage: Eukaryota; Metazoa; Mollusca; Bivalvia; Mytilida; Mytilidae. The transcript has 3 exons.
AAUGACGAUACAUGAGAAGAGACACUAUUAUCUUAUCAAAGUUUUAUUAAAUAUUUGACCACUCGAAAAUUCAAUAUAUACAUGAUAUAAACUUGCAAGUGCAAUAAAAGAUACAUUAUGGUGCUACCAAUGUGGUGAUAGUUCUGCCACAGGUCCGUGUAUAACGGACACAGCUGGCAUGGAAGCAGAGUACAUAGAGUUUAAUACUACAAACUCGACUGCGAAAAAAGAUCAGCCCAUGUCUGAUAGUGGCACAAAGACGACAUAAUACCAAUAUCUAAAGAACUGCCAGAAAUCAGAAUAUGAUAGGUGUGUCAUUGAGAGGAUAUAAGAACAAGGACUACUCCAUGCAUAUAUACGGGAUUGUCACAGCAGUGCUAAAAACUAUUCAUUUAAUGACCCGAAGGUUUUAGAUUAAGACCCUGCACGUAACCACACAUCAUGUAUCUACGACGCAUUUUCAAAGAGAGUAGCUUGUGUCACUGUGUGUGAAACAGACUUUUGUAAUGGACCUCAUAUAGCCGGUGGAAAUUGCUGCCGCGCACAAACAUUAAUUGUUUUGUUUUAUUCAAUUCUUGUAUUUUUAAAGUAUAUUGUUUAAUGUAUAGUGCAACAUUGGUUAAAUGACAUUUUGAUUUUUAUUCUGGAAUACCAAAUGUUGAGUGCUACGCUUCUUGUGAGUUUUACAUACGAUUGGAUAAACAAAGUCAUUCGAUAUAUUUAGCUACACCGAUGAUUAUAUUUAGUACGUAUUAAUCUAUUUUUCACAAGCGUACACCAAACAUUGUGAAUGUCUGACAACGUCAUUAACAAUGGAAAUUAAACCAAUGGUGUCAAUUACCCACAAUCAUUUAGAAACACCGCGAUCUCCCAGUCAAAUAAAAACAAUAUUUUGUUACAUGUAAAAUAAAUCUUGUAUUUUGUCUCCUCUGACGUCAAACAACAACAGACGUUGUCAACGAAGUUAUAUAUACAUAAAAAAGCGAGAAUGCGUAGAACAAUAUAGUUAUUUGUUUUUUCCACUGUACUUGCAUUAAAAUUCACUGCAAUAAACAUAAUAACUAGUCCAAGAAUUCAGAUAUCGAAAAUAGUCAUUUCCUGACUGAUCAACACAAGUCUUAUAAUUCGCUU